Molecule: ribosomal RNA, 205 nt
Filed under: uncultured bacterium
Lineage: Bacteria
Description: partial 16S ribosomal RNA
Rfam family: Bacterial small subunit ribosomal RNA
Source: RNAcentral
UGCGUAGGUGGUGAGGUAAGUCGGAUGUGAAAUCUCGGAGCUCAACUCCGAAACUGCAUUGGAAACUACCUCGCUCGAGGGUUGGAGGGGGGACUGGAAUACUUGGUGUAGCAGUGAAAUGCGUAGAUAUCAAGUGGAACACCAGUGGCGAAGGCGAGUCCCUGGACAACUCCUGACACUGAGGCACGAAAGCUGGGAGCAAACA